RNAcentral lists this microRNA (22 nucleotides) under Schistosoma mansoni. Its description in RNAcentral is "sma-miR-125c-5p". Its record names the gene sma-miR-125c-5p. Lineage: Eukaryota; Metazoa; Platyhelminthes; Trematoda; Strigeidida; Schistosomatidae. The record is from miRBase by way of RNAcentral.
UCCCUGAGACCUUAGAGUUGUC